CGCGGCCUAUCAGCUUGUUGGUGAGGGAUGGCUCACCAACGCUACAACGGGUAAGCCGCCUGAAAGGGUGACCGGUCACACUGGGACUGAACUCGGCCCAUACUCCUACGGGAGGCAUCCCCGGGGAAUAUUGCCCAAUGGGCGAAAGCCUGAUGCAACGACGCCUCCUGUUGGAUGACUGCCUUCGGGUUGUAAACCUCUUUCCCCAAGGAAGAAACCCCUUUUUGGGGUGACGGUACUUGCAUAAGAAGCGCCGGCUAACUACUUGCCAGCUGCCGCGGUAAUACGUACGGCGCAAGCGUUAUCCCGAAUUAUUGGGCGUUAGAGCUCGUAGGCGGUUUGUCGCGUCUGCCCUGAAAGUCCGAGGCUCAUGCUCGGAUCUGCGGUGGGUACGGUUAUACUAGAGGGAUGUACGGAAGACUGGAAUUCCUGGUGUUUUUACGAAAUGCGGGGCUUCGGGAGGAACACCGAUGGCGAAGGCAGGUCUCUGGGCAUUUACUGACGAUUCAUUACUGAAAGCCUGGGGAGCGAACAGGAUUAGUGUACCCUGGUAGUCCAUGCCUGAUCCGUUGGGCACUAGGUGUGGGGGACAUUCCACGUUUUCCGCGCCGUAGCUAACGCAUUAAGAGCCCCGCCUGAGGAGUACAG
This 648-nucleotide ribosomal RNA is filed under the name uncultured bacterium. RNAcentral's name for it is "bacterial SSU rRNA". It matches the Rfam family "Bacterial small subunit ribosomal RNA", at positions 232 to 885 of the family's 1533-position model. The record is from RNAcentral.